RNAcentral lists this ribosomal RNA (740 nucleotides) under uncultured bacterium. Its description in RNAcentral is "bacterial SSU rRNA". It matches the Rfam family "Bacterial small subunit ribosomal RNA", at positions 77 to 816 of the family's 1533-position model. The record is from RNAcentral.
GCUUCAAUUGCCGGCGACCGGCGCACGGGUGAGUAACGCGUAUCCAACCUUCCGUACACUCAGGGAUAGCCUUUCGAAAGAAAGAUUAAUACCUGAUGGUAUGAUGAGAUUGCAUGAUAGCAUCAUUAAAGAUUUAUCGGUGUACGAUGGGGAUGCGUUCCAUUAGGUAGUAGGCGGGGUAACGGCCCACCUAGCCAACGAUGGAUAGGGGUUCUGAGAGGAAGGUCCCCCACAUUGGAACUGAGACACGGUCCAAACUCCUACGGGAGGCAGCAGUGAGGAAUAUUGGUCAAUGGACGAGAGUCUGAACCAGCCAAGUAGCGUGAAGGAUGAAGGUCCUACGGAUUGUAAACUUCUUUUAUAAGGGAAUAAACCCUCCCACGUGUGGGAGCUUGUAUGUACCUUAUGAAUAAGCAUCGGCUAACUCCGUGCCAGCAGCCGCGGUAAUACGGAGGAUGCGAGCGUUAUCCGGAUUUAUUGGGUUUAAAGGGAGCGCAGACGGGUCGUUAAGUCAGCUGUGAAAGUUUGGGGCUCAACCUUAAAAUUGCAGUUGAUACUGGCGUCCUUGAGUGCGGUUGAGGUGUGCGGAAUUCGUGGUGUAGCGGUGAAAUGCUUAGAUAUCACGAAGAACUCCGAUUGCGAAGGCAGCACACUAAUCCGUAACUGACGUUCAUGCUCGAAAGUGUGGGUAUCAAACAGGAUUAGAUACCCUGGUAGUCCACACGGUAAACGAUGGAUAC